Molecule: ribosomal RNA, 223 nt
Filed under: uncultured bacterium
Lineage: Bacteria
Description: partial 16S ribosomal RNA
Rfam family: Bacterial small subunit ribosomal RNA
Source: RNAcentral
AGACACGUAUCCAACCUGCCGUCUACUCUUGGACAGCCUUCUGAAAGGAAGAUUAAUACAAGAUGGCAUCAUGAGUCCGCAUGUUCACAUGAUUAAAGGUAUUCCGGUAGACGAUGGGGAUGCGUUCCAUUAGAUAGUAGGCGGGGUAACGGCCCACCUAGUCUUCGAUGGAUAGGGGUUCUGAGAGGAAGGUCCCCCACAUUGGAACUGAGACACGAUCCAA